GUGAUUGUAGCUCAGUUGGUAGAGCCCUGGAUUGUGAUUCCAGUUGUCGUGGGUUCGAGCCCCAUCAGUCACCCCA
This 76-nucleotide transfer RNA is filed under the name Shewanella algae. RNAcentral describes it as "tRNA-His(gtg)". It matches the Rfam family "tRNA". From Rfam's summary of the family: Transfer RNA (tRNA) molecules are approximately 80 nucleotides in length. Their secondary structure includes four short double-helical elements and three loops (D, anti-codon, and T loops). RNAcentral also lists the same sequence under 34 other names. The record is from RNAcentral. Lineage: Bacteria; Pseudomonadati; Pseudomonadota; Gammaproteobacteria; Alteromonadales; Shewanellaceae.